Molecule: ribosomal RNA, 288 nt
Filed under: uncultured bacterium
Lineage: Bacteria
Description: partial 16S ribosomal RNA
Rfam family: Bacterial small subunit ribosomal RNA
Source: RNAcentral
UGUUGCCUACGGGAGGCAGCAGUGAGGAAUAUUGGUCAAUGGUCGGGAGACUGAACCAGCCAAGCCGCGUGAGGGAUGAAGGUACAGAGUAUCGUAAACCUCUUUUGUCAGGGAACAAAGGCGGGGACGUGUCCCCGGAUGAGUGUACCUGAAGAAAAAGCAUCGGCUAACUCCGUGCCAGCAGCCGCGGUAAUACGGAGGAUGCGAGCGUCAUUCGGAUUUAUCGGGUUUAAAGGGUGCGCAGGCGGUCUGUUAAGUCAGCGGUCAAAGCCCGGGGCUCAACCCUUG